This is a non-coding RNA of Phrynosoma platyrhinos (Desert horned lizard), 72 nucleotides long. The record is from the annotation of a GenBank genome assembly. NCBI's taxonomy places the organism in Eukaryota, Metazoa, Chordata, Lepidosauria, Squamata, Phrynosomatidae.
GUUUGUGUGAUGUAGUGGUUUGAGUGUUGGACUACAACUCUGGAGACCAGGGUUCAAUUCCCAGCUCAGCCA